CGUCACAAUCCCGCCAUCAUCCUCUGAACCCGCCGCCGACCACCCACCACCGUCGUCAACUACCCCUCGCCCCCUGACCCCUCUCCUUCUCUUUCUUUCUUUCUUCUUCCCCUUCUCUUCUUCAUCUGUCUCUGCUCCUCCGCGCCACCUCAGCCGCAGCGCCACCCCUCCUUGCCGAACCCGAGCCCAGGACCCACCCCUGCUUCCUCUCGUCUUCACCCUCUCGACGCCUCACCUUCGCGAAUCACCGCCCACGCCGCCGCAACCACCACCCCUUUCUCACCCCCACGAGCCUCAUAAACCCUCCUUGCCCCAUUAUCGCUCUUCCUCUGCCUGCGACAACAAGCACAGGGCUCGUCCCUUGUUCUCAUUUCGCUUCCUCUCCACCGCUGUCACUGUGCCACUGCGCCACCAGGCCGGCUGUGUUUGUUCCGGCCAUUCACUCAUCGUCAUCAACCUUCCCCUUCCCUUCCUCUGUUCAAAUUCUUGUUCCCAGGUAAGCAGAUGGCCAGCUUUCGCGUUUCUACAUCAUCUUUUCCCUCCUCUCCUCAAAGCCAGUGAUGAUGCUGAGCCAAUGAGCCAUUUGGUGGCAAUGUGCUCCUUUCGACGUACUUGUGGAGGUUGCCAACUGCCAAGUCUGAAGCUAAGAUGUCACAGCCAAUGGAGCUGGCCUUGGGUUCACAAUGAAGGAGAAUGAGAUAGAGUAAAUGAAGGGGCAAGAAGGGCAUUGAUGCAGGAGCAAUAGGAGCAUGCCACUUGGAAGCCAUUCAAGGAGUCACCCCUCAAAAUGACAUCAACAUCUUGAAGCUAGUCGCAUUUUUGAAAGGUUGGGCAUUGCACUUUCUUCUUCAAUGGCUAAACAAAAUCUUAGGCAAGCCAUUGAUUUUUUGUAUUCUCGCGGCCUUGCUACUUCUGAUUCCUAUACACGCCAUGUCCUUCACUGCGUUCGAGCAAAUGACUUUGUUCAAGCCAAGAGAUUGCAGUCUCACAUGCAACUUCACCUUUUCCAACCCAAAGACUCCUUCAUCCAUAACCAGCUCCUCCAUUUGUAUGCCAAAUGCGGCAAACUCUCCUAUGCACAAGACCUGUUUGAUAAUAUGACCCACAGAGAUGUUUAUUCUUGGAAUGCCUUGCUUUCUGCUUAUGCUAAGUUGGGUUUGGUUGAGGAUUUGUGCACUGUCUUUGAUCAAAUGCCUUCUUGUGAUUCCGUUUCUUAUAACACCUUGAUUGCUUGUUUUGCAACUAAUGGGCAUUCAGGCAAGGCAUUGAAGAUUUUAGUGAGGAUGCAAGAAGAUGGGUUUCAGCCCACCCAGUACUCCUAUGUGAAUGCAUUGCAAGCAUGUUCUAAGCUCUUGGAUUUGAAGCUUGGUAAGCAGAUUCACGGGAGAGUUGUUAUUAGUGGUUGUGGGGAUAACACUUUUGUAUGGAAUGCUAUCACUGGUGUCUAUGCGAAGUGUGGUGAUAUUCACAGGGCACGGUGGUUCUUUGAUCGAAUGACACAUAAGAAUGUUGUUUCCUGGAAUCUUAUGAUCUCUGGAUAUGUCAAAUUGGGGUAUCAUGAUGAGUGCAUUCGAUUGUUUAAUAAGAUGAAGUUAUUGGGUUUGAAACCUGACCAAGUUACAGCAUCAGUUGUUAUCAAUGCUUACUUUCAGUGUGGACAUGUGGAUGAUGCAAGGAGGAUGUUCAGUGAAAUACCUAGAAAGGAUGAGAUUUGUUGGACAACAAUGAUAGUUGGUUGUGCACAGAAUGGAAGAGAAGAGGAUGCAUUGAUGUUGUUUGGCGACAUGCUGCGUGGAGACGUUAGACCUGACAGUUACACCAUUUCAAGUGUGGUCAGCUCCUGUGCCAAGCUAGCUUCUUUGUGUCAUGGUCAGGUUGUCCAUGGAAAAGCAAUAGUAAUGGGUGUUGAUCAUAGCAUGCUUGUGUCAAGUGCUCUUGUUGAUAUGUACUGCAAGUGUGGAGUUACUUUGGAUGCUUGGAGCAUUUUUUGGACAAUGCCUAUUCGAAAUGUGAUUACUUGGAAUUCUAUGAUCCAUGGUUAUGCCCAAAAUGGUCAACCACAUGAAGCACUGGCUCUUUAUGAAACGAUGCUUCAGGAAAAUAUCAAACCUGAUAGCAUUAGUUUUGUGGGGGUAUUAUCUGCUUGUAUCAGUGCUGACAUGGUCGCAAAAGGACAGGAAUAUUUUAAUUCAAUAAGUGAACAUGGGAUGACACCAACAUUGGAUCACUAUGCAUGUAUGGUCACUCUCAUUGGUCGCUCUAGUAGUGUUGAUAAAGCUGUGGAUUUGAUCAAAUGCAUGCCUCAUGAACCAGAUUACCUGAUUUGGUCCACCCUACUCUCUAUUUGUGCAAAGAAGGGUGACAUCAAGAAUGCAGAAUUGGCAGCUGGUCAUCUCUUCAAGUUGGAUCCACGUAAUGCAGGACCUUAUAUCAUGCUUUCCAACUUAUACGCUGCUUGCGGGAGAUGGGAAAAAGUAGGUGAUGUACGAUCUCUCAUGAAUAGAAACAAUGCAAAAAAGUUUGCUGCUUAUAGUUUGGUUGAGGUUGAGAGUGAAGUCCACAAAUUUGUUUCAGAAGAUCGUACUCAUCCAGCAGUGGAAAAAAUCUAUGAUGAAUUGAACAGAUUGAUUUCAAUAUUGCAACGAAUUGGGUAUAAUCCAGAUACAAACAUUGUUCUGCAUAAUGUGGAACAGGAAGAAAAAUUUAAAUCCAUCUCAUACCACAGUGAGAAACUUGCUCUUGCUUUUGCUUUAAUUAGAAAGCCGAAUGGAAUUGCACCUAUCAGGAUCAUAAAAAAUAUACGUGUCUGUGAUGACUGCCAUGUGUUUAUGAAAUUUGCAUCCUUCCAUAUUGGAAGGACAAUCAUUUUGAGAGAUUCAAACAAAUUUCACCAUUUCUCUGGUGGAAAGUGCUCUUGCAAGGACCAUUGGUAAAGUUUUAAUCCAGAUAAUGAUAUCCUGUGCAUUUUUAAUUGUUUUGAAAAGGAAUGGUGCUGGCAAUAGAAGGGAAAAUUAAAUCUAUAUGUAAACGUGGACUCAAUAGAUUGGAGCAGCUGUAUUGCACGGGAAUGCCUUUAGAAAAUUUCUUGGGACGACACAAUGUGUUGAACUAGGAAGCAAGUAUAUCCUUUGAAUCCAUUAUCAAGAAUGGACCUUGAAGAAAGAGAGUCAAGAAAACUAUCAAAUCCCCAUAACUUGCUUGAUCCAGACUAGAGAUCUUUGUGACAUGUAGAGCCUGCUCGAUUCAGACUAGAGGUUCUUUGUGACAUGUACUAUGUCUACAUGUAACUCAAUCUUGUGGCAGUGUUAAUUGCUUGCCUCUUAAGAAUAUGCCAAGAAGGUAACAUUCUGUACUUUGUUACAUUGGAGAGAUACUUGAAGUAAAUUACUAACAUGUUCUAUAUGGGAAUACUUCCUUUGCCUCUUGCAGUGGUAACGGAAAAAUGAAAGGAUAAUUUGUCGAUAACUUUAUCAGAGAUGAAGACGCAACACCCGAUGACCUGAGCAUUGUUGAACCUUAACUCCUCAAAUUUCAUCUGCAGUACCAAUGCCUUAAUUCACUGACAAAUCUAGAUACUUGAUCUCCCCCACUAAGUGUUUCAGGCAUUUAACUCCUGCAAUGGGUGUAAUUAACUACGAGAUGGUUCCAAUGUUGGGGCACAGAAUUCGCGUAGUGAAGAAAUAAAUGAUCAACACAUUCUAUUAGCUCUAAUAUUAUGUUAGUAUGUUCCUUUGGAUCGGAGCUUAACUUAUAACAAUGCUUCUUUAAUUAAAGUUUCUCUUUUACCGAGCGCGCCCUAGCCAUUGCUGCAAUGUUCCUAUCCUGGCUUCUCUUAGGUACUUUUGGGUGCAAGGUCACGGUGUCUCUUCUUCCAGAUGCAGUCUUUUGGCUGUUGAGUUGAUUCCUUCUAGUAAUGAAGCAUGAAGCAUCCAGUGAUCCAGAUCAUGUUCUUGCAUAUUACUCUCUUGAAGGACAAAGAGAUGAUUUUCCGGAUACCAUUGUUAAGUGUACCUUUGGAAUUCACCAUAUGUGCAUAGACCUUUUUUUC
Molecule: RNA transcript, 4048 nt
Organism: Arachis duranensis
Lineage: Eukaryota; Viridiplantae; Streptophyta; Magnoliopsida; Fabales; Fabaceae
Gene name: pentatricopeptide repeat-containing protein At2g01510, mitochondrial
Exons: 5
Source: RefSeq, a predicted model, not a curated record